CAGGCUUAACACAUGCAAGUCGAGGGGCAGCAUUUUAGUUUGCUUGCAAACUGAAGAUGGCGACCGGCGCACGGGUGAGUAACACGUAUCCAACCUGCCGAUAACUCCGGAAUAGCCUUUCGAAAGAAAGAUUAAUACCGGAUAGCAUACGAAUAUCGCAUGAUAUUUUUAUUAAAGAAUUUCGGUUAUCGAUGGGGAUGCGUUCCAUUAGUUUGUUGGCGGGGUAACGGCCCACCAAGACAACGAUGGAUAGGGGUUCUGAGAGGAAGGUCCCCCACAUUGGAACUGAGACACGGUCCAAACUCCUACGGGAGGCAGCAGUGAGGAAUAUUGGUCAAUGGGCGAGAGCCUGAACCAGCCAAGUAGCGUGAAGGAUGAAGGCUCUAUGGGUCGUAAACUUCUUUUAUAUGGGAAUAAAGUUUUCCACGUGUGGAAUUUUGUAUGUACCAUAUGAAUAAGGAUCGGCUAACUCCGUGCCAGCAGCCGCGGUAAUACGGAGGAUCCGAGCGUUAUCCGGAUUUAUUGGGUUUAAAGGGAGCGUAGGUGGAUUGUUAAGUCAGUUGUGAAAGUUUGCGGCUCAACCGUAAAAUUGCAGUUGAAACUGGCAGUCUUGAGUACAGUAGAGGUGGGCGGAAUUCGUGGUGUAGCGGUGAAAUGCUUAGAUAUCACGAAGAACUCCGAUUGCGAAGGCAGCUCACUAGACUGUCACUGACACUGAUGCUCGAAAGUGUGGGUAUCAAACAGGAUUAGAUACCCUGGUAGUCCACACAGUAAACGAUGAAUACUCGCUGUUUGCGAUAUACAGUAAGCGGCCAAGCGAAAGCAUUAAGUAUUCCACCUGGGGAGUACGCCGGCAACGGUGAAACUCAAAGGAAUUGACGGGGGCCCGCACAAGCGGAGGAACAUGUGGUUUAAUUCGAUGAUACGCGAGGAACCUUACCCGGGCUUAAAUUGCAACAGAAUAUAUUGGAAACAGUAUAGCCGUAAGGCUGUUGUGAAGGUGCUACAUGGUUGUCGUCAGCUCGUGCCGUGAGGUGUCGGCUUAAGUGCCAUAACGAGCGCAACCCUUAUCUUUAGUUACUAACAGGUGAUGCUGAGGACUCUAGAGAGACUGCCGUCGUAAGAUGUGAGGAAGGUGGGGAUGACGUCAAAUCAGCACGGCCCUUACGUCCGGGGCUACACACGUGUUACAAUGGGGGGUACAGAAGGCGGCUACCUGGUGACAGGAUGCUAAUCCCAAAAACCUCUCUCAGUUCGGAUCGAAGUCUGCAACCCGACUUCGUGAAGCUGGAUUCGCUAGUAAUCGCGCAUCAGCCAUGGCGCGGUGAAUACGUUCCCGGGCCUUGUACACACCGCCCGUCAAGCCAUGAAAGCCGGGGGUACCUGAAGUACGUAACCGCAAGGAGCGUCCUAGGGUAAAACUGGUAAUUGGGGC
This 1435-nucleotide ribosomal RNA is filed under the name uncultured organism. Its description in RNAcentral is "16S ribosomal RNA". It matches the Rfam family "Bacterial small subunit ribosomal RNA". The record is from RNAcentral.